GACCACAAAGCACAAUGAUGAUGAGCAAUAUGUCUGGGAGUCUCAAGCCGGUGGCUCUUUCACUGUUACCAGGGAUACAUCUGGUGAGAACCUUGGUAGGGGUACCAAGAUGGUCCUUUAUCUCAAGGAGGAUCAGCUUGAAUACCUUGAAGAACGUAGGCUCAAGGACCUGAUUAAGAAGCACUCUGAGUUCAUUAGCUAUCCUAUUUCUCUGUGGGUUGAGAAGACCAUAGAGAAGGAAAUUUCUGAUGAUGAGGAGGAAGAGGAGAAGAAAGAUGAGGAGGGAAAGGUAGAGGAGGUCGAUGAGGAAAAGGAGAAGGAAGAGAAGAAAGA
RNAcentral lists this unclassified non-coding RNA (333 nucleotides) under Hevea brasiliensis (rubber tree). The record is from RNAcentral. Lineage: Eukaryota; Viridiplantae; Streptophyta; Magnoliopsida; Malpighiales; Euphorbiaceae.